AGUGAACGCUGGCGGUAGGCCUGACACAUGCCAGUCGAACGGCAGCACAGUAAGAGCUUGCUCUUACGGGUGGCGAGUGGCGGACGGGUGAGGAAUACAUCGGAAUCUACUUUUUCGUGGGGGAUAACGUAGGGAAACUUACGCUAAUACCGCAUACGACCUACGGGUGAAAGCAGGGGAUCUUCGGACCUUGCGCGAUUGAAUGAGCCGAUGUCGGAUUAGCUAGUUGGCGGGGUAAAGGCCCACCAAGGCGACGACCCGUAGCUGGUCUGAGAGGAUGAUCAGCCACACUGGAACUGAGACACGGUCCAGACUCCUACGGGAGGCAGCAGUGGGGAAUAUUGGACAAUGGGCGCAAGCCUGAUCCAGCCAUACCGCGUGGGUGAAGAAGGCCUUCGGGUUGUAAAGCCCUUUUGUUGGGAAAGAAAAGCAGCAGGUUAAUACCCCGCUGUUCUGACGGUACCCAAAGAAUAAGCACCGGCUAACUUCGUG
This 492-nucleotide ribosomal RNA is filed under the name uncultured bacterium. RNAcentral describes it as "partial 16S ribosomal RNA". It matches the Rfam family "Bacterial small subunit ribosomal RNA", at positions 29 to 507 of the family's 1533-position model. The record is from RNAcentral.